AAACUAAUUUAAUUUGGCGGCAUUUCAUCUAUUUAGAGGAAUUUGUCUAUUAAUCGAUAAUCCACGUUAAAUUUCACUUUAAUUUAAAACUUAUAUACCGCCAUUUUAAGAAUCAAUUAAAAAUUCUCUCUCCUAAUAACUAAUAAUAAAUUAGGUCAAGGUGUAAUCAACAUUAAAGAAUCAGAUGAAUUACAUUAAACAAUAUUUAAAGCUUAUAUAUAAAUAUAUAAAUAUAAAUAAGAAUUUAAAAGUAAUAUAAAAAUAAUAUUUAUACAUGAUAAAGAUAAUAAAUGUGCACACAUCGCCC
RNAcentral lists this ribosomal RNA (307 nucleotides) under Pireneitega luniformis. RNAcentral describes it as "partial 12S ribosomal RNA". The record is from RNAcentral. Lineage: Eukaryota; Metazoa; Arthropoda; Arachnida; Araneae; Agelenidae.